RNAcentral lists this ribosomal RNA (274 nucleotides) under uncultured bacterium. RNAcentral describes it as "partial 16S ribosomal RNA". It matches the Rfam family "Bacterial small subunit ribosomal RNA", at positions 523 to 796 of the family's 1533-position model. The record is from RNAcentral.
AUACGGAGGGUGCGAGCGUUAAUCGGAAUUACUGGGCGUAAAGCGUACGUAGGCGGUUGGUUAAGUUAGAUGUGAAAGCCCCGGGCUUAACCUGGGAACUGCAUUUUAAACUGGCGAACUAGAGUUGAGUAGAGGGGAGUGGAAUUUCAGGUGUAGCGGUGAAAUGCGUAGAGAUCUGAAGGAACACCAGUGGCGAAGGCGACUCCCUGGACUCGAACUGACGCUGAGGUACGAAAGCGUGGGUAGCAAACGGGAUUAGAAACCCUAGUAGUCC